This 460-nucleotide ribosomal RNA is filed under the name uncultured bacterium. RNAcentral describes it as "partial 16S ribosomal RNA". It matches the Rfam family "Bacterial small subunit ribosomal RNA", at positions 338 to 795 of the family's 1533-position model. The record is from RNAcentral.
CCUACGGGUGGCAGCAGUGAGGAAUAUUGGUCAAUGGGCGCGAGCCUGAACCAGCCAAGUAGCGUGAAGGAUGACUGCCCUACGGGUUGUACACUUCUUUUAUACAGGAAUAAAGUGAGGCACGUGUGCCUUUUUGUAUGUCCUUUAUGAAUAAGGAUCGGCUAACUCCGUGCCAGCAGCCGCGGUAAUACGGAGGAGCCGAGCGUUAUCCGGAUUUAUUGGGGUUAAAGGGAGCGUAGAUGGGUUGUUAAGUCAGUUGUGAAAGUUUGCGGCGCAACCGUAAAAUUGCAAUUGAUACUGGCAGCCUUGAGUACAGUUGAGGGAGGCGGAAUUCGGGGUGUAGCGGUGAAAUGCUUAGAUAGCACGAAGAACUCCGAUUGCGAAGGCAGCCUACUAAACUGCCACUGACAUUGAUGCUCGAAAGUGUGGGUAUCAAACAGGAUUAGAUACCCUAGUAGUC